RNAcentral lists this transfer RNA (72 nucleotides) under Sphaerodactylus townsendi. RNAcentral describes it as "tRNA-Ala". Lineage: Eukaryota; Metazoa; Chordata; Lepidosauria; Squamata; Sphaerodactylidae. The record is from RNAcentral.
GGGGGGGGGGCUCAGUGGCCCAGCACCUGCUCAGCAUGCAGAAGGUCCCGGGUUCAAUCCCAGGUGUCUCCA